UUUGACCAAUUUGGGUUGAUUCCAUUUCCCCUCCCUCUUCAUCUCAAUCCCAUUCUAUUCUCAUUCUAUUCUGGACCUAUGAUGUCUCUAUAUCCUAAGGCUAGUUGAUUGUAAAAUCAACAUAAGUGUGGAUGAGAUUAGGUCCACCCCUUUUGCAUAUUCUUUUAAGUGUGGUAUAUUUUAGGAGUAUGGUUUAUAAUACCAUACCUCUAACAUGCAUUAACACUAAAAUUUC
This 235-nucleotide long non-coding RNA is filed under the name Lathyrus oleraceus (garden pea). Its description in RNAcentral is "Pisum sativum (pea) long non-coding RNA (PSAT_LNC007648)". The record is from RNAcentral. Lineage: Eukaryota; Viridiplantae; Streptophyta; Magnoliopsida; Fabales; Fabaceae.